GACGAACGCUGGCGGCGUGCUUAACACAUGCAAGUCGAACGGUAAGGCCCUUCGGGGUACACGAGUGGCGAACGGGUGAGUAACACGUGGGUGAUCUGCCCUGCACUUCGGGAUAAGCCUGGGAAACUGGGUCUAAUACCGGAUAGGACUCCGGACUGCAUGGUCUGGGGUGGAAAGCCUUUGCGGUGUGGGAUGGGCCCGGGGCCUAUCAGCUUGUUGGUGGGGUGAUGUCCUACCAAGGCGACGCCGGGUAGCCGGCCUGAGAGGGUGACCGGCCACACUGGGACUGGGAUACUGCCCAGACUGCUACGGGAGGCAGCAGUGGGUAAUAUUGCACAAUGGGCGCAAGCCUGAUGCAGCGACGCCGCGUGAGGGAUGACGGCCUUCGGGUUGUAAACCUCUUUCAGCAUCGACGAAUCGAAAGUGACGGUAGGUGCAGAAGAAGGACCGGCCAACUACGUGCCAGCAGCCGCGGUAA
Molecule: ribosomal RNA, 478 nt
Filed under: uncultured bacterium
Lineage: Bacteria
Description: partial 16S ribosomal RNA
Rfam family: Bacterial small subunit ribosomal RNA
Source: RNAcentral